AUGGACGCCAGGACGCCCCGCCACCAAAGGCUGCUCCGCACCCCGCGCGGCCCACCGACGCCCCAUCACCCCCGCCACCACCCCGGCACGCCCGGCCAAAACCCUAUCCGCUACGUCCCUGCCGCCGCCCCGAUCUCCCCGCGCUCCGCUGCCGCCGCCGUCGCCGCCAUGGAGGACGACGCCAUCACCACGCUCAUGGACAUCGACGACUCCCCCCGCAGCGCCGCCGGCGCAGGCUUCCUCGACGACGACGACGAGGGGGACCUCCUCCACUCCCACCGCAUGGGCGGCCGCGGGAACGAGGCCCGGGGCCCCCUCCCCUUCGCCGGCUUCUUCAACACCUUCGACGGCGCCGACUUCGACGACUCCGAUCUGGCCUGA
RNAcentral lists this ribosomal RNA (381 nucleotides) under Triticum aestivum (bread wheat). Its description in RNAcentral is "partial small subunit ribosomal RNA". Lineage: Eukaryota; Viridiplantae; Streptophyta; Magnoliopsida; Poales; Poaceae. The record is from RNAcentral.